Cavia porcellus (domestic guinea pig) is the source of this 293-nucleotide long non-coding RNA. RefSeq lists it as uncharacterized. NCBI's taxonomy places the organism in Eukaryota, Metazoa, Chordata, Mammalia, Rodentia, Caviidae. The record is from RefSeq and is a predicted model, not a curated record. The transcript has 2 exons.
GUCAGUGCUACACCCGCCUAGGGGUGGAGCCAGCAUCCAAUGUAAUGGCAGAAAGAAGGUGCAUCUUUCUCUCUCUUGGCAGUUUCCCCUUUGCUGUUUGCAGCCACCAUGAACUGUGGCCCCGCCAUGCCACCCUGCCUUGGAGCCAAUUGAGUAUGGACUGAAACCUCCACAAACUGACCAAUUGAAUCUGUCCUUGGAUAUAGUAAGAACAACAAAUGAUAGAAGAUGUUUGAUCUUGACUGUCGAUACUAGAGGGAUUCAGAGGAAAUAAAGAACACGUUGGCGAUAAA